RNAcentral lists this ribosomal RNA (305 nucleotides) under uncultured bacterium. Its description in RNAcentral is "bacterial SSU rRNA". It matches the Rfam family "Bacterial small subunit ribosomal RNA", at positions 334 to 631 of the family's 1533-position model. The record is from RNAcentral.
CCCUCCUACGGGACGCAGCAGUAGGGAAUCUUCCACAAUGGGCGAAAGCCUGAUGGAGCAACGCCGCGUGGGUGAAGAAGGUCUUCGGAUCGUAAAACCCUGUUGUUAGAGAAGAAAGUGCGUGAGAGUAACUGUUCACGUUUUGACGGUAUCUAACCAGAAAGCCACGGCUAACUACGUGCCAGCAGCCGCGGUAAUACGUAGGUGGCAAGCGUUAUCCGGAUUUAUUGGGCGUAAAGGGAACGCAGGCGGUCUUGUAAGUCAGAUGUGAAAUCCUGUAGCUUAACUACAGAACUGCAUUUGAA